Pelobates cultripes (western spadefoot toad) is the source of this 235-nucleotide non-coding RNA. Lineage: Eukaryota; Metazoa; Chordata; Amphibia; Anura; Pelobatidae. The record is from the annotation of a GenBank genome assembly.
GUGAAUAGCUAUGUGUGAUGUGUGAGUAUAUUAGAGUGAUAUGUCUGGGUACUUGUGAGUGAAUAGUAUUGCUGUAAAUGAAUGGUAUUGCUGUGUGUUAUGUGUGUGGGUAGCAGUGAGGGCCGUGUGAACAGAUGAGUGUGCUGUCAGUGGGGAAGCUGGGAUAGGAGUGAUAGGCAUGGGGAGAGAAUGUUAGGUGUGGAAGUGAUCGGAGUGGUAAUGGAAUGGAUUGUUG